GGCACCAUGGCCUAAUGGUAAGGCGUUGCUUUCCGGUUAAAUUCGAUGGCAAAGAUUGUGGGUUCGAGUCCCACUGGUGUCG
Molecule: transfer RNA, 82 nt
Filed under: Pyrenophora teres f. teres
Lineage: Eukaryota; Fungi; Ascomycota; Dothideomycetes; Pleosporales; Pleosporaceae
Also listed under: 1 other name
Description: tRNA-Arg
Rfam family: tRNA
About the family: Transfer RNA (tRNA) molecules are approximately 80 nucleotides in length. Their secondary structure includes four short double-helical elements and three loops (D, anti-codon, and T loops). Further hydrogen bonds mediate the characteristic L-shaped molecular structure. tRNAs have two regions of fundamental functional importance: the anti-codon, which is responsible for specific mRNA codon recognition, and the 3' end, to which the tRNAs corresponding amino acid is attached (by aminoacyl-tRNA synthetases). tRNAs cope with the degeneracy of the genetic code in two manners: having more than one tRNA (with a specific anti-codon) for a particular amino acid; and 'wobble' base-pairing, i.e. permitting non-standard base-pairing at the 3rd anti-codon position.
Source: RNAcentral